CCGCGUGAGUGAUGAAGGGUUUCGGCUCGUAAAACUCUGUUAUUAGGGAAGAACAAACGUGUAAGUAACUGUGCACGUCUUGACGGUACCUAAUCAGAAAGCCACGGCUAACUACGUGC
This 119-nucleotide ribosomal RNA is filed under the name uncultured Lactobacillus sp. Its description in RNAcentral is "partial 16S ribosomal RNA". It matches the Rfam family "Bacterial small subunit ribosomal RNA", at positions 397 to 508 of the family's 1533-position model. Lineage: Bacteria; Bacillati; Bacillota; Bacilli; Lactobacillales; Lactobacillaceae. The record is from RNAcentral.